CCGACACAGGUGGUCAGGUCGAGUAGACCAAGGCGCUUGAGAGAACUCUGCUGAAGGAACUAGGCAAAAUGGUACCGUAACUUCGGGAGAAGGUACGCUGUUGUUGGUGAUGGAACUCGCUUCCUGAGCUGACGACAGCCGCAGAAACCAGGCCGCUGCAACUGUUUAUUAAAAACAUAGCACUCUGCAAACACGAAAGUGGACGUAUAGGGUGUGAUGCCUGCCCGGUGCUGGAAGGUUAAUUGAUGGGGUUAGCGUAAGCGAAGCUCUUGAUCGAAGCCCCAGUAAACGGCGGCCGUAACUAUAACGGUCCUAAGGUAGCGAAAUUCCUUGUCGGGUAAGUUCCGACCUGCACGAAUGGCAUAAUGAUGGCGGCGCUGUCUCCAGCAGAGGCUCAGUGAAAUCGAAAUCGCUGUGAAGAUGCAGUGUACCCGCGGCUAGACGGAAAGACCCCGUGAACCUUUACUGCAGCUUGACACUGAACUUUGACCUUACUUGUGUAGGAUAGGUGGGAGGCUUUGAAGCUGGAACGCUAGUUCCAGUGGAGCCGUCCUUGAAAUACCACCCUGGUAAUGUUGAGGUUCUAACUCUGUCCCGUGAUCCGGGACGAGGACCGUGUCUGGUGGGUAGUUUGACUGGGGCGGUCUCCUCCUAAAGAGUAACGGAGGAGUACGAAGGUGCGCUCAGCGUGGUCGGAAAUCACGCGUAGAGUAUAAAGGCAAAAGCGCGCUUAACUGCGAGACCCACAAGUCGAGCAGGUACGAAAGUAGGUCUUAGUGAUCCGGUGGUUCUGUAUGGAAGGGCCAUCGCUCAACGGAUAAAAGGUACUCUGGGGAUAACAGGCUGAUACCGCCCAAGAGUUCAUAUCGACGGCGGUGUUUGGCACCUCGAUGUCGGCUCAUCUCAUCCUGGGGCUGAAGCAGGUCCCAAGGGUAUGGCUGUUCGCCAUUUAAAGAGGUACGCGAGCUGGGUUUAGAACGUCGUGAGACAGUUCGGUCCCUAUCUACCGUGGGCGCUGGAAAUUUGAGAGGAUCUGCUCCUAGUACGAGAGGACCAGAGUGGACGAACCUCUGGUGUACCGGUUGUGACGCCAGUCGCAUCGCCGGGUAGCUAUGUUCGGAAGGGAUAACCGCUGAAAGCAUCUAAGCGGGAAGCCUACCUCAAGAUAAGAUUUCCCUAGGACUUUAUGUCCUCUAAAGAGCCGUUCGAGACUAGGACGUUGAUAGGUUGGAUGUGGAAGCAUAGUGAUAUGUGAAGCUGACCAAUACUAAUUGCUCGUGAGGCUUGACUAU
This 1292-nucleotide ribosomal RNA is filed under the name Acinetobacter baumannii. RNAcentral describes it as "partial 23S ribosomal RNA". It matches the Rfam family "Bacterial large subunit ribosomal RNA", at positions 1654 to 2925 of the family's 2925-position model. The record is from RNAcentral. Lineage: Bacteria; Pseudomonadati; Pseudomonadota; Gammaproteobacteria; Moraxellales; Moraxellaceae.